RNAcentral lists this ribosomal RNA (239 nucleotides) under uncultured bacterium. RNAcentral describes it as "partial 16S ribosomal RNA". It matches the Rfam family "Bacterial small subunit ribosomal RNA", at positions 16 to 244 of the family's 1533-position model. The record is from RNAcentral.
AUCCUGGCUCAGGAUGAACGCUAGCUACAGGCUUAACACAUGCAGGUCGAGGGGAAACGACAUCGAAAGCUUGCUUUUGAUGGGCGUCGACCGGCGCACGGGUGAGUAACGCGUAUCCAACCUGCCCAUCACUUGGGAAUAACCUUGCGAAAGUAAGACUAAUGCCCAAUGAUAUCCCACGAAGGCAUCCGAAUGGGAUUAAAGAUUUAUCGGUGAUGGAUGGGGAUNCGUCUGAUUAG